UACGUAGGGAGCAAGCGUUGUUCGGAUUUACUGGGCGUAAAGGGCGCGUAGGCGGCGCGGUAAGUCACUUGUGAAAUCUCUGAGCUUAACUCAGAACGGCCAAGUGAUACUGCAGUGCUAGAGUGCAGAAGGGGCAAUCGGAAUUCUUGGUGUAGCGGUGAAAUGCGUAGAUAUUACAAGGAACACCAAUGGCGAAGGCAGCUUGCUGGGCCUUUUCUGACGCUGAGGUACGAAAGCGUGGGGAGCGAACAGG
Molecule: ribosomal RNA, 253 nt
Filed under: uncultured bacterium
Lineage: Bacteria
Description: partial 16S ribosomal RNA
Rfam family: Bacterial small subunit ribosomal RNA
Source: RNAcentral